UCAUCACUGACCACAAGCUACUACAACAAAAGAAAGGUAUGAGAAUGUCAUUUUUCUUAUUCAAGCUCAAACUAAUUAGUCUGAUUUUUUAGAUAUUCAUGCAAAUAUAUAACAUAAACUAACAAUGCCAAAUAAAAAAAUUCAACAUUACAGUAGUAAAAUAUGGAUGAAAUAGAUCCAAAAGUUACUCAUGAAAUCAGAAAAACCAUUUAGUCCAAUUCAAAAAAAGACAAACAGAUCCAAACCAUCUAUGAUUUUUUUUUCUUUUCAUAUCUUUGAUUUUUUUGUUGUUCUUACAUGUAAAAGAACAAAUAGUUCAGCCAUGAUUGUGCCUCAAAAUAAAAAAUAGUUUGAAUAAGUUGAGAAAAACAAUAUAGAUCCAAUACAAAUAGUUUGUUUAUUUCAAGUUCUCCAAAUCAAUCAGGUUUGAAUUUUUUUGGUUACUGUUGUUGAUAGAUAUGAAUAAAAAUAAUUAGAUUAUAGUUUUGUAUCAAAAUUUCUAGAUCUAGAAAAAACACAAAUCCAAAAAUAGAAUAAUUAUUAAUUUAAUAGAUAAAUAAAGAAAAUUUGAUUUGUAUUUAUGUAAUCAACUUAUUUUAAAAAUUUAGGAAUAAAAAAAACUUCUUUUAAAGGUAUAAAUUAAUCACUUAAAUUAUUUUGUAUUGUUUAUCAAUAAAAGAAAUGGAUCAAAAAAUGUAAAAAUAAUGAUGAAAGAUUUUGGAACAAGUGUAUUUUGUUUUGUGGAUGCGUGCAAAAAGAAAAAGAGAGAGGGUGUUGGAUAUGCACUUGAAUGAAUGAACAUUUUGGGCAGUGUGCAAUGUUGUUUUGUGGGUCUCAACGUAAAGAAAAACAGUAGUAAAGAGAAAGACCAAUAAAGGGAUUAAAAAAUGAUACUAUUAUUUGUUUAUAUCAAUUUAUUUAUAUCAAGCAAAAAAUAAAAUAAAAACAAAAUCAUACGGGAAAGAAAAAAAGAAACAUCCAAAAGUAUAUAAAUAAAAUGAGUUAUAUUUACAUGAUUUUUAAGGUUUUGGAUCUUAUGUUUUAGAAGAUCCAAAACAUAAGAUACAAAAUAAAACAUGAUUUUUGCCGUAAAUUACUCGAAUGGAACAUAUAAAUAUUAGGAAAAAAAAAAUUACAGUUGUAAAUAGUAAAAGAUGGGGGAAAUAGAUCCAACACAUAUUUUACAAACGAAGACAUAAAAACACUUUACUAAGAUUUAAAAAAAAAAAAUCAAACCAGAUAUAAUUAUUUUUCCUUCUGAUGAUGUGUUUGACUGUUGUUGUUCUUGCAUGUAAAAGAAAAUUGGAGAAGACGAAGUCCCAUGCUGUUUUCAUCAUGGUAACAAAAUUUCCGGAUCGGUAAUCUACUUGGUGGCUAAAAAAGAUGCUUGCAACACAUUUGUUUCUCUUCGGAAAGAUUAAAAACAAAACAAGAUAAAACUGUUUGCGGGAAACAAAAUUAGAUAAGAGAAAGUGCAGUGAAAAUUUAAACUUUUCUAUGAUUUUAAAAUAGAAAUUUCGGUUUUGUAUAGAGGGGAAUGAGUGAAAAAGAACCAUGGCUUUAUUUUAGGUGUGAUGGUAAGAAAUGGUUUAAAAUUUAG
This 1600-nucleotide long non-coding RNA is filed under the name Trifolium pratense (red clover). RNAcentral describes it as "long non-coding RNA (TPRA_LNC010849)". The record is from RNAcentral. Lineage: Eukaryota; Viridiplantae; Streptophyta; Magnoliopsida; Fabales; Fabaceae.